AUUGAACGCUGGCGGCAUGAUUUACACAUGCAAGUCGAACGGUAACACGCCGCAAUUUGCUGACGAGUGUCGAACGGGGGAGUAAUGCAUCGGAACGUGCCCAGUCGUGGGGGAUAACUACUCGAAAGAGUAGCUAAUACCUCAUACGAUCUAUGAUUGAAGACGGGGGACCGUAAGGCCUCGCGCGAUUGUUGCGGCCACUUUCAGAUUAGGUAGUUGGUGGGGUAAAGGCUCACCAAGGCAACGAUUUGUAACUGGUCUGAGAGUAAGACCCGCCACACUGGAACUGAGACACGGCCCAGACUCCUACGGGAGGCAGCAGUAGGGAAUUUUGCGCAAUGGGCGAAAGCUUGACGCAGCAACGCCGCGUGAAGGAUGAAGGCCUUCGGAUCGUAAACCGCUUUUAUUAGGAAAGAAAAAGUGUUGGUUAAACCCCGCGGGUCAUGACGGUACCGAAACAGAAAGCCACGGCUAACUACGUG
This 482-nucleotide ribosomal RNA is filed under the name uncultured bacterium. Its description in RNAcentral is "partial 16S ribosomal RNA". It matches the Rfam family "Bacterial small subunit ribosomal RNA", at positions 30 to 507 of the family's 1533-position model. The record is from RNAcentral.